AGUGAACGCUGGCGGUAGGCCUAACACAUGCAAGUCGAACGGCAGCACAGUAAGAGCUUGCUCUUACGGGUGGCGAGUGGCGGACGGGUGAGGAAUACAUCGGAAUCUACUUUUUCGUGGGGGAUAACGUAGGGAAACUUACGCUAAUACCGCAUACGACCUACGGGUGAAAGCAGGGGAUCUUCGGACCUUGCGCGAUUAAAUGAGCCGAUGUCGGAUUAGCUAGUUGGCGGGGUAAAGGCCCACCAAGGCGACGAUCCGUAGCUGGUCUGAGAGGAUGAUCAGCCACACUGGAACUGAGACACGGUCCAGACUCCUACGGGAGGCAGCAGUGGGGAAUAUUGGACAAUGGGCGCAAGCCUGAUCCAGCCAUACCGCGUGGGUGAAGAAGGCCUUCGGGUUGUAAAGCCCCUUUGUUGGGAAAGAAAAGCAGCAGGUUAAUACCCCGCUGUUCCGACGGUACCCAAAGAAUAAGCACCGGCUAACUUCGUG
RNAcentral lists this ribosomal RNA (492 nucleotides) under uncultured bacterium. Its description in RNAcentral is "partial 16S ribosomal RNA". It matches the Rfam family "Bacterial small subunit ribosomal RNA", at positions 29 to 507 of the family's 1533-position model. The record is from RNAcentral.